This 179-nucleotide non-coding RNA is filed under the name Tropicimonas sediminicola. RNAcentral's name for it is "Tropicimonas sp. M97 Ruegeria cis52 sRNA". It matches the Rfam family "Ruegeria cis52 sRNA". From Rfam's summary of the family: Cis-encoded. Targets oligo/dipeptide ABC transporter. The record is from Rfam by way of RNAcentral. Lineage: Bacteria; Pseudomonadati; Pseudomonadota; Alphaproteobacteria; Rhodobacterales; Roseobacteraceae.
UUCGCAGCGCGUGUUUCAGGACGAUGUUCGGGAAGCUCACGCCCUUGAGGCGCGCGGUGCGGAUAUAUUGCGCGGUCAUCACCUCUGUCAUCGAGGCCCGCGUCAUCCGGGCGAUGUACCCCAUGCCGUAGAGCGCGAUGGUCACGACCGGCAGGGUGAAGUUCUCGAAGGUGAUGCCG